Molecule: transfer RNA, 70 nt
Filed under: Dipodomys ordii (Ord's kangaroo rat)
Lineage: Eukaryota; Metazoa; Chordata; Mammalia; Rodentia; Heteromyidae
Rfam family: tRNA
About the family: Transfer RNA (tRNA) molecules are approximately 80 nucleotides in length. Their secondary structure includes four short double-helical elements and three loops (D, anti-codon, and T loops). Further hydrogen bonds mediate the characteristic L-shaped molecular structure. tRNAs have two regions of fundamental functional importance: the anti-codon, which is responsible for specific mRNA codon recognition, and the 3' end, to which the tRNAs corresponding amino acid is attached (by aminoacyl-tRNA synthetases). tRNAs cope with the degeneracy of the genetic code in two manners: having more than one tRNA (with a specific anti-codon) for a particular amino acid; and 'wobble' base-pairing, i.e. permitting non-standard base-pairing at the 3rd anti-codon position.
Source: Rfam by way of RNAcentral
GGGAAUGUGGCUUAGUCGUAGAGUGCUUGCCUAGCAUGCAUGAAGCCCUGAGUUCAAUUCCUCAGUACCA